CCAUCAUCACCACAAAUAGACAUCAUGUACUCAGCUGCAUCUAACUUGAACAUCUCCCUCAGAUUCCUGAAGACCAUAGGGCAAUAAUCUUUCCAAUAGAAGUCAAUAGAAUAGUGUGGAGGCGUGAACUGGGAACCCUUUCUAGGGAAAUACAUUCUUAUCCUAGCUCGAUCUUCAAAAUCAGAAUGUCGAACUUCACGCAUAGGCACUGGUGUGAUCUUGCCAACAGUAUACCUGAUACCAAGUUGCAAAUUAAGCAUUAGAUAAUAGCUCUGAUAUCCUUCAAAAAUGUCAACACAGGACUUCUUUUUUGCUUCUUUCAUAUUAAAUUUAUUUUUCUGUUUAGUUUUGUGCAAUGGUUCUGUAUUUCUGAUUCUCUCUUUGAU
This 386-nucleotide unclassified non-coding RNA is filed under the name Hevea brasiliensis (rubber tree). The record is from RNAcentral. Lineage: Eukaryota; Viridiplantae; Streptophyta; Magnoliopsida; Malpighiales; Euphorbiaceae.